This 971-nucleotide long non-coding RNA is filed under the name Citrus x clementina. Its description in RNAcentral is "Citrus clementina (C. clementina) long non-coding RNA (CCLE_LNC000449)". The record is from RNAcentral. Lineage: Eukaryota; Viridiplantae; Streptophyta; Magnoliopsida; Sapindales; Rutaceae.
GAACAAAUUAAAAUUAUAUUGAUAUGAUUUAUUUUUAUUAUUUUAUAUUUUCAUUCAACUAAUAUAUUUAUGGUACAUCAGUUUGAACAAAAAUUCAUCAACCUUAGAUUCUUAUUAAUUAUUUUUUUUAUCGCGAUCAAGGGGGUAUUAAGGUCAUUGAAGGUGUACCAUAGGAGAAAGAGUUAGUUUUGAAAUUAUUAAACAGGUUAUACUUAGAGAAGGGAUUGCGAGAGAAUUGUUGAGGGGUAUCAAUAUCACCACUCAAAACUUUAUUAAAAUCUUUUAUCCUUUUUUUAUAGUUUUUAUUAGAGAAAAUUUUAUAAAUUUAAUAAACGGGAUUUCAAAAGAAAUUUAAAGGGGUGGUCGAAAUUCGGGUUUGACGGGAGUGUUAAAAGUGGUGUUAAAGGCUCAACCCCAUAAGACAACGAUCAUCACAAAAUUUACUUCAAAUUAGCUCUUCAUCCCCUUUAUCUUCUGAUGGAUGUCCUUCGAGUUUCCGAUGGUAUGCUUCCUAAUUUUCUGAGUUGGAUUAAAAAGAAAACGUAUACUUCGUUAUCGGCAAGACAAUAUUGUAGACUUUGACCCCCUUGUGUUAAUUUGUUAAAGGAUGCUCUUUUGGAUCCUUUUAUGAAGUUUGAUUCCGGAUGUUCUUUUGAAUCAAAUACACUAAUAACAAUCAUAAAAUAAGCAAUUGUCCAACAUAAUUUAGAAUUGGAAUUUUCAAAUUAGUUAUUUGUUGAAAAUCCAUCACCAUACAAAUGAGAAACUAAAAUAAGGCCAGUUUGGUUUUAUUUUAGGAAAUUUACAACCGCCCACCUAUUUGUUUUGCCUUUUUUAAAAAUACACAAACACCUUUUUUUUUAGCGCGUCACUUGAAGUUUACUUUUUGUUGCAUUCGUUCACUUCCGUUUAAUUUUCGUUAGUAAAUUUAACGGAAUGACCUUUUUACCCCUCAAAAUUAUAAUUUAACC